CAUAGCGACUAUCGUGGCAUAUCAAUAAGCGGAGGAAAAGAAACUAACAAGGAUUCCCUUAGUAACGGCGAGUGAAGCGGGAAGAGCUCAAAUUUGAAAUCUUCAAGGUUUUACCUUGACGAAUUGUAGUUUAUAGAAGUGUUUUCUGUUAGUAGAGUGGCAAAAGUUCUUUGGAAUAGGACAUCAUAGAGGGUGAGAAUCCCGUAUUUGGUCAUUCCUCCUAGCGUUGUGAUACACUUUCAACGAGUCGGAUUGUUUGGGAAUGCAGUCCAAAAUGGGUGGUAAAUUUCAUCUAAAGCUAAAUAUUGGCGAGAGACCGAUAGCGAACAAGUACCGUGAGGGAAAGAUGAAAAGAACUUUGAAAAGAGAGUUAAACAGUACGUGAAAUUGUCUAAAGGGAAGCGUUUGACACCAGUGUUGUUUUUCCGAAAAUCAAUUAAAAAUUGAUUCGUGCCAGGUUGUAUUGACCUUAUCAGCUUGCAAUUUGGUUUUGGGUCUCUUUUUGAUGCACUUUUCGGUUAACAAGUCAACAUCAAUUUCCUUUGCUGUAAAAAGGUAAGAGGAAGGUGGCUUCAAUUUCGGUUGAAGUGUUUAUAGCCUUUUAUCUCUGCAGUCGGGGAGAUUGAGGUCUGCAGCGUAGACCCUUCGGGGCUAGAUACAUUUAUGCUAAGUUAUAGCUUUUCAUAGACAACUUGUUGACUAUGUUUAGUCAUGUAGCUUACUCGUAAGUGCUAUUUUACCUACGCUUAGGAUGUUGAUAGUCACAGCGUGUAC
Molecule: ribosomal RNA, 774 nt
Filed under: uncultured Neocallimastigales
Lineage: Eukaryota; Fungi; Neocallimastigomycota; Neocallimastigomycetes; Neocallimastigales
Description: partial large subunit ribosomal RNA
Rfam family: Eukaryotic large subunit ribosomal RNA
Source: RNAcentral